UACAGAGGGCUCAAGCGUUGUUCGGAUUCAUUGGGCGUAAAGGGUGCGUAGGCGGCGCGGUAAGUCGGGUGUGAAAUCUUGGAGCUUAACUCCGAAACUGCAUUCGAUACUGCCGUGCUUGGGGACUGGAGAGGAGACUGGAAUUUACGGUGUAGCGGUGAAAUGCGUAGAUAUCGUAAGGAAGACCAGUGGCGAAGGCGGGUCUCUGGACAGUUCCUGACGCUGAGGCACGAAGGCCAGGGGAGCAAACGGG
RNAcentral lists this ribosomal RNA (253 nucleotides) under uncultured bacterium. RNAcentral describes it as "partial 16S ribosomal RNA". It matches the Rfam family "Bacterial small subunit ribosomal RNA", at positions 524 to 776 of the family's 1533-position model. The record is from RNAcentral.